Molecule: transfer RNA, 77 nt
Filed under: Candidatus Bathyarchaeota archaeon
Lineage: Archaea; Thermoproteati; Candidatus Bathyarchaeota
Also listed under: 1 other name
Description: tRNA-Gly
Rfam family: tRNA
About the family: Transfer RNA (tRNA) molecules are approximately 80 nucleotides in length. Their secondary structure includes four short double-helical elements and three loops (D, anti-codon, and T loops).
Source: RNAcentral
GCGGCCGUAGUCUAGCCUGGUUAGGACAUCGGCCUCCCGAGCCGACAGCCCGGGUUCAAAUCCCGGCGGCCGCACCA